This 253-nucleotide ribosomal RNA is filed under the name uncultured bacterium. Its description in RNAcentral is "partial 16S ribosomal RNA". It matches the Rfam family "Bacterial small subunit ribosomal RNA", at positions 524 to 776 of the family's 1533-position model. The record is from RNAcentral.
UACAGAGGUCCCAAGCGUUGUUCGGAUUCACUGGGCGUAAAGGGUGCGUAGGUGGUGAGGUAAGUCGGAUGUGAAAUCUCGGAGCUCAACUCCGAAAUGGCAUUGGAAACUACCUCGCUAGAGGAUCGGAGGGGAGACUGGAAUUCUCGGUGUAGCAGUGAAAUGCGUAGAUAUCGAGAGGAACACCAGUGGCGAAGGCGAGUCUCUGGACGAUUCCUGACGCUGAGGCGCGAAAGCCAGGGGAGCAAACGGG